UAUCCCUCUCCAUGACUACCCUCCGGCCGCAAGCCGCCGUCGUCACCUAUCUCUGUUACACCUCCUCCCCACACGCUCCAUCUCCACGUUGGGGACGUCAUGGAAGGCGGGGCCGCGAGGUACCUCCCCCUUGACUCCCCUGCCUUCCUUUAACAAAUCCUUUCGAGCCACCUCCGCCCCGAGCGACCAGAGCACAGCGGACGGCAGCCGUCUGCGACGUGCUCUGCCCCCUUCCUCCCACAUGAUCCCUGUAUUAGCCUGCACCAAUCCGACCACGAAGGCAGUUGUCCUUAAUCUCCUCAACAGGCGAGCAGGGGCUGGCAUGGACCUCUUGCUGCUCCUCUUUUAGUUUGCUGGGGAGAGAGCGACUAUGCCAGCCCGACGUAGAUGAAGUUGCUCCCUGUGCCAGUGAUCCGAUUGAGAACCCAGUGAAUUUCAGCACCGUCAAGAGGAGGCUUGCCAGGGAUGUGACAAAUCCUAUCCAAUUUGGUCUUGUCCCAUAGCUCAGACUUGGAAAAUCUUUCAUUUGAGUAGUUCGAGAUCAGUACCUAGCGCCUCAAUGAUUUUUCGCUAAAAUCAUGUUGUAGUUGGGGAUGGUGGGAUGACAUUUCAGUUAAUACUUCAUACUCGUACUAUAUUAGUCUAGGAGACUGGGAGAGAACUCCACCUACAAGCAGCAAUACAAUGCUUGAAGCAACAUUUUAUAUUUAAAUCUCCUUAUUACAUUGAAUCGUAACUUAUUUAUCUUGAAAACGAUUAACCUUUAUGUGCGUGGCCCAAAAACAACAACGUUUCCUAAAAUUAACAUUGUUUGCUUGUAGUUUGUGGAAACAAUGAAUGUGGUUUGCUUCAAGAUUAGGCUGUUGUUUGCCAUAAUUUUCAUUAUAGAUCUGCUAAAGUUCAGUAGUACUGAAUACAUAUAAUAUCCUACACUAAGCAGAAAAUUGAUGAUUUUUCUAACAUAAUUUUAACUUUAACAUCCAUUGGUCGUAUUUUAAGCUUUGUAGGCUUCUACGAAAUACCGUCUACUCUACUAAUAAUACUAUGUUAAUAGUUGGUGAUAUUCUUUAGUUGUAGAAUGAUGUCUUCUUAAUUUGCAGCAAUGUAAUGAUGUACACCGCACCAGAUAAAUCUUACUUCAGACAGGUUAAUUCCAUUCAAGGCCUGCCAAGAAAGAGGUUGAUGUCUUCUUAAUUUGCAGCAAUGUAAUGAUGUACAAUGCGCAUGAUACAAUUUACUUCAGACAGGUUCAUUCCAUUCAAGGCCUGGCAAGAAAGAUGUUUCAAGAACCUAGAGAUGAGGGCAUACGUAUAGAAAUGCAAGCACAUUCCUGACUACGCUGAUGAUGGGCUCUUGUGGUAGAGUUCUCUCUGGGUGAUGGGCAUAGCGAGGAGCGGAGGACUGCCAAUCCAACGGCCAAGAAUGAAUCUGACGGGCCCCUUGAAUUCCAUGCACAUUGGUUGUGCAGCUGCGGACCAUGUCUUCGGCUGCAACAUCGAACGGGAGGGACGAGCCACCACACCUACAUAAGGGGUUAGUGUGGGGUGUGUGUGUAGAUGACGCCAAGGGCUAACAACGGCGCCCGCUGACGGCGGCGGCGGACCCGGACGCAUAAGAAAGAUCAGGGACAAGUGCUCCAACUAGCUCAUCGCCAUGAAGUACAUUAAGAAGUAACAACGUAUGCACCCUACUGUUUGGCUCCAUUCCUAUCUGUGUAGUUUUGGAGUUUGGUCGUUGGGGGUUCAUCCUGAUGGUGGCUAAUGGAUUUGGUUUCUUGGUGAUGAAUUAAUCCUUGAUGGAAGUAUGGUGAUGAUUACUAUAGGUUUUUGUUGCUCGAUGGAUGAACGCAGAUUGCUAGAAUUGACCUAGCUUUGAAUCCUCGAUCAAGUUAUGGCAUCAUGGUUUCUGUCUGCUUUGCUGCAUUUCAAACUAAAAUCAAUUAUUUGUACUCCAGCAUACAUAGCGCCGGAAGUUUUCCGACAAAAGAAUAACAAGGUAAGUUCUGCAUGUUACAGUAUGCGGUUAUUUUCUAUGAAUUUUCAGCAACCUCUUUAUCCGAUAAGAGAACAAGGUAAAUAGUAUUUAGUAAUAUCAUUAGUACUUAUAGAUGUUACUAAAAUUUUGAUGCAAUUUAGAAUUGCGUUGAAAGAGAUUUUCAAUUCUACGGUUUUUAUUCAGAUAUGAUUAUCUAGCUUGCUUGCCAUAUAGGAAAUACAUUCUUGAAGAUUAUCAUCAUUAUAUUUUUCCAUUGAAAGAGAGGAGCAUCCGUUGGAGGAUGUGCAAUUCUAAAAGGAAAAGGACUGAGUAAACCUAACUAUUAUCAAAGAAAUAGUUCAGUCAUUGUGUUGUUGGGAACUAAAAUAUACAUAAUGCUAAUGAUUUUAUUUUAGUGGCGACGACACCUGCACAUGUAUGUCAUGAUUCUUUAGAAGUUCUAAAUGUCUAUUUUAUGCUUAGGAUUAAACAAAACCCAUGCAUGGUAGUUUCUCUAAAGAUACAUGUGAAUGCAUUCAAAUAUUCGUGACUUAGCGCACAACAACUUAGUACCAUUUAGUUUUUUUAAUGUGAAAAAAGACACCUUGAUUAUUCAAGUUUUCUCAUCAACGUUUUUUUUUGCUUUGAUCAGCCUUCUCAAUUAACACAUUGUAUGAAGACUUUGCUGGGUUACGUGUAUGAACUGUUGGGUUAUCAUUACCGAUGCAAAACAUGAUAAAGAAGCCGGUGGUCACCUGGGGCUCCUAAUUUAUUUUGUUUUCAUGUGACGAGCUCCUUGCAUUCUGUUGCUCAUGGGUGUGGAACCAUGGCGAACGAGGAAUUUAUUGUUCAAGCCACACUUCACCUCAAAGUUGACGGUGUGUCAGACCGCUGACGCUCUUCGAGCGCCUGAAAGAAGGAUCUGUGUAGAUAGGUACACGACGACCUUCCAGAUCAAGUCAGCUGAUGCUAGACAUGCAUGUUCUUAUUGUUUCAACUAGCUUCUGUUGUAGUAACAUUGACAUGAUUUGCAAUUCUAUUCUUCCUUA
Molecule: long non-coding RNA, 3023 nt
Organism: Hordeum vulgare subsp. vulgare (domesticated barley)
Lineage: Eukaryota; Viridiplantae; Streptophyta; Magnoliopsida; Poales; Poaceae
Exons: 5
Source: RefSeq, a predicted model, not a curated record